This is a long non-coding RNA of Cottoperca gobio, 1069 nucleotides long. RefSeq lists it as uncharacterized. The transcript is spliced from 2 exons. The record is from RefSeq and is a predicted model, not a curated record. NCBI's taxonomy places the organism in Eukaryota, Metazoa, Chordata, Actinopteri, Perciformes, Bovichtidae.
GCAGUGUCUAUUUUACAAGUGGUGUGUGCUGAGCCGAGCUGCUCACCCGGCAGUUACCCGUUGUUUGAAUGUGAUGAGAUGUUGUCUGCACUCAUCCUGUGUAGCGUAACGAAGAACGGGUUUUUAUUUUUUAUGUUUGCACGUUUUUGACUUUAGCUAGCGGGAUAUUUAACGGACAGAUUAGCUUUCUAUUGUCCCUCGUUUUGACUGUAGGAGCAGCUCGUGAAGGACUGACAGGCGGCUUUUUUGUGUGUGGCAUGUGAUACGGACAACAAGAGACUGAGGCGUGUUCACGUCUCACGGAUGUUACCGGGAAAAGGAAAGGGGGAAGAAGAGGCUUUUUUUCCUUGUUCUGUUGCCUGUGGAUGUGACUUUGUCCCCGCUCGGGUUCAGCAGGACAUGACGGAAGAGCGGAUGGAUUUUAUAGGGCUCCUGCUAGCUGUUGAAUGGCAAGAUGGAAAAUGACUGUUGAGCUUAAUAGUUUGUUUUUUAUGUUGUGCGAAUGUCUGAUUUUUUUUUUUAAACGUGCAGACAGUGAACACAUUUUAUUUUUGUGAGCUAUCGUUGGUUUAACACAGCGAAGGGAGGAUCAAUUCAGGCGCGGUCAGGCAAGCCAACAAUGCGGAUUACCUCUUGACUGUUUGUCUUUGUGUCAAUACAGACUGUUUGUAUAAAGUUUGAGAUAGCACUUGCUGGGCGAAUACCCGGUUCUUUUAGUUUUAUUGUCUUUGAAAGGAGACAAUACGUUGACGCGAGGUACAAAUCCCACAUGUGCACAGGUUGUCUGUGAAACGGCAAACUGGCUGACAACAGAGCAACAGGGACAACGAUGGCGAACGACUCCAUACAACGUGUGAGCAACGAUCCAGGUGAGCUUCAAGCACUCCGCCCAAGGUUUGCAUUACAAAACGGCAGCUUCCUGACGUGCGGUUCAACACAUGUCAGGAGAGGGAGGGAAAUGGAAAUGAGGGAACAAAGUCGUUUUCUCCCCUUAGGCCAGAGGGAACGAUACACAUGAACACAGCACCUUCAUCAUUGCCCUAAUUCCUAAUAAAAUCUUGUGUCCUGA